Dasypus novemcinctus (nine-banded armadillo) is the source of this 1696-nucleotide long non-coding RNA. Lineage: Eukaryota; Metazoa; Chordata; Mammalia; Cingulata; Dasypodidae. The record is from Ensembl.
GCCGCGCUCAUCCCCCCAGAGCAGACGGCCCGCCCCAGCGGCCCCCGUGAGGGGGUGGGCCUGGGGUCCCCGCCCGUGACCUCCCCGAGGCGCCCGGCCGUUCCAUUUCCGCUUCCGGCGCUCACGGCCUGUGUCUCCUCCAGAAAGCCACAUCCGGGCUCACCAGACCCGAACGAGCCUGCCGCCCCCGCGGGCGCCGGACCCGCGCUGCCCGGGGUUCGAGCCCCCGCCCCGGGAGCACCGGCUGACUUGGUUUGUAUUUAAUUGUGAGUAAAGAGGGCGCAGCAGGUACGUGGACCGGCCGCCAAGCGCUGAGUGUGUGUCCAGAAGUUUCUGUUCCACCAAUUCCUGCAUGACUCAUGUCAAAAGAACCUCCAGAAAGAGGCGCGGCCUCGCUCCGCGCAGGCGUGGGGCACCCGCGGGGCUCCCAGGCCCCCCGUCCCUAGUGGGCCCCGUGGGCGCUCGGAGCAGGUCCAGCUGCAGCGGGACAGGCACGGGUCUCCGCGGUGGCUGCGCACGGCGCGGGUGAACCUCAGGGCAGAGUGUAUUUGCAUGUCUAUUAUUUUCCUGCCCUAACAAAGGCCCACUGAAGCUGGGUGGCUUAAAAUAACAGAAAUCCCUCCCCCAGAAGUUCUGGGGUGUCGGCAGGGUGGGGGUGGGAUGGGGGUCCCUCCCGGAGCUUCUGGGGGCCCCAGGCCGUCCUCGGCUUGUGGACGCAUCAGCCGGCUGCCCGCCUUCCCGAGGCAGCCCUGCGGGGCCAUGGGUCUCAAUUCUCCCCCUUUUCUCUUGCAACCUGUCGUUGACUUGCAGGCGCACCCCGAAUCCAGGAUGGGCUCACCCCGAGAUCCUCAACUCAAUCCUACCUGCAGAGACCCUGUUUCCGGCAAGGUCACGCCCCCAGUGCCUGGAGGUAGGACGUGGGUCUGUGUUUUUUGGGGGGAUGGCUAGAAAUGAGAUUGCGCUGCUCUCGGUUACCCACAAUUUACAGACCCAAAAGAGCUCCAAGAGGAAAGGCCAGGAUCGCCCGGAAGGGGAGCCGCGAGCUGUGCCCCAUUGCCGCCCUUGGGGCUCAGAAAAGUACCCCAAAGUCCGGAGGCUUUUUAUGCCCGGGGCGCACACUGGGGACCUGCCUGGCCAGUUCACCCCCGAGCCGAGCUGCACCCCCAAACAGCUGCACCCCCGGGCUGAGCUGCACCCUCAAACAGCUGCACCCCCAAGCCAAGCUGCACCCCCGAGCCGAGCUGCACCCCCGACCAAGCUGCACCCCCAAACAGCUGCACCCCCGGGCCGAGCUGCACCCCCAGCCGAGCUGCACUCCCUGGCUGUGCGCUCCUUUGUUGCCCCAGCCAGGCUCGAGUCUCCACUCUGAGCUGUAACCAAAUAAACAUCUGGUCGCUGUACUGAGGUGGCCUUUCUUCAUUCCAAAGUUGGUCCAAACUGAGGAAUAAAGUGGCAAUGACACCAUGUGGGAUCUAAGCCCCCUCUUGAUCUAGAGGUGGAGGGGACAUCCCCAUCCCAGGGUCCACAGGAUGGAGGAAUAGAAUAUGGAUAUGACCUUCUAUAAACUAUUGUGAUGAUAAAUUGUAGCACUGAGGUGGAGAAAGUGGCCACGGUAGUCGAGGCAGGGAGAGGGAGGAAGAGAAGUGAUGUAGGGGCAUUUUCAGGACUUGGAGUUGUCCUAAAUGAUGCUGCAGGG